This 446-nucleotide ribosomal RNA is filed under the name uncultured bacterium. RNAcentral describes it as "partial 16S ribosomal RNA". It matches the Rfam family "Bacterial small subunit ribosomal RNA", at positions 338 to 795 of the family's 1533-position model. The record is from RNAcentral.
CCUACGGGAGGCUGCAGUCGAGAAUCAUUCACAAUGGGGGAAACCCUGAUGGUGCGACGCCGCGUGGGGGAAUGAAGGUCUUCGGAUUGUAAACCCCUGUCAUGUGGGAGCAAAUUAAAAAGAUAGUACCACAAGAGGAAGAGACGGCUAACUCUGUGCCAGCAGCCGCGGUAAUACAGAGGGCUCAAGCGGUGUUCGGAAUCCCCGGGCGUAAAGCGUGCGUAGGCUGUUUCGGACGUCGGGUGUGAAAGGUGCGGGCUCAACCCGCGGACCGCACAUGAUACUGCGAGACUGGAGUAAGCGAGGGGGACGCGGAAUGCGCGGUGUAGCAGUGAAAUGCGUAGAUAUCGCGAGGAACACUCGUGGCGAAGGCGGGGUCCUGGCCCUUAACUGACGCUGAUGCACGAAGGCCAGGGGAGCGAAAAGGAUUAGAUACCCGGGUAGUC